CCAUGUGCUGCUGGGUUCCCCAGUGAGGUGUGGUGUGCGCAUGGCUUCAAUUUUCUGGUAACUUUUGGUAAAAUGAACACCUAUUUGGUCUGCACUGUACUGCUGCCUCAAGUCUCCUGUUGUAAAUAUCCAACCGCUACAUGGCCAUUCUGACAAGUGGUGUCAAGAAGCUGGGGCCUACACCGCAGUGAGGAGUUGAGAAUGAUUAGAGGUGAAAAGAAAAUUGAUCAGCAGGAAGAUGCAGAUGUCGGUGCAAGUGCAUCCCCCUGACCAGGGGGCCAUGGCAGCUGGCAACCACUGGGGAAAAGCUAGAUGAGUUGGCCGGUCUGGUCAAAAAUAUUCUCCGUUCUCAAACAACCAGAGACCACCACUUGGACCAAGAGUUCUCGUGUCAAGAACAAAGGUAGUGCUAGUGUUUUUGCCUGUGUUUAUCGUAACUUAACGACACUUAAGACUCUUCCAAGUGCACCGGAGGCGCAUCUCCUAAUCAAGGGAGAGUGGUGAGAUGGGAGCUAUUAAUAUAUGUUCUGUGGUGGAGAGCAGGAGAAAUUCAGAUGUAGAAGGGACCUGAGGUGGUACAGGGUUUGACGACGGUCAACAACUGCUGAGAAACCCUUUGGGUGUGCAGUGGGACUUGCGUGGACGGCGCAGCUGGACCGAUGACCGGACCUGAGGGGCUGCGGUCGGGACCUGCAGAGACGCCCUUUGGGUGUGCAGGAACGACUCACAGUGAGAUGUGCAAAGGACUGCAGAGCUGAACCCAGGACAAAGGGGCAGGCUGUCAGACAGCGAGGAGUACGCCUGGCCACCGGCACUGCACGGACGCACCGACCGGAUGUCACCGCCCCACUUCCUCGCAUGACCGUUUAAUUCUUGUUUAACAUUCUAAUAAAAUCAACUCAAUUUUUGCUGCUGCAAAAUUGAAAUUUACCCAUAUAGAGACAAUUUUAAAAUCAAACCAAACGUGUGUGGGUGUGUGUCAAGCCUGGGGAUUUAAAGGACCUAAAUGUCUACUUUGUGACACCGUGAAUGAAAUGAGAGUACAGACAAGUGGGUAGAGCUGCAGGAGGAGGAGGAAACGGAGGGAGGACAUUAUGAAAAGAUGACUCAGGUGAGGGGACAAGUCAUGCAAAUGAUGUCAGAUUUCAGAAUAAACCACCAAUCCGCAGAGAACCAAAGCUGCUCCUACUGUCCCCCAGAUGAUGACAUUGGAAAAAUGUUAACCACCUUUUUGAAAGAAUGGCCAAAAGCUGAAUAGGCUGUUUGCCUGGUCCCUUUGCUGACGGGUAAUGCAUGUAGUGUAUAUGUGCUCAUGGACAUUGCAGACUCUGAAGAUUAUGAUAAAGUAAAAGAAGCAAUUUUGGCAAAGUAUGAAAUGACUGCAGAUACGUACCGUCGAAGAUUUUGAUAUAUGAAAAUGUUUCAAGGAGAAACCCCACAUGAGCUGUAUGUUGGUCUUUAAGACUUGUUUUCCAAGUGGGUAAAACCACAGUGAAGGGGGCAUCUGAGAUGUUGAGCCUUGAACAGUUUCUGAGGAUGGUGCACCCUGACCUCGAGGAUUGGAUUCAGGAGCAUGACCCUCUUACUGCAGAGAACGCAGCUCAGCUGGCUGAAGUCUUCACAGCAGCCAGAAGAGGGACCAGACACACCACCUUUGGCCGAGACGACCACAACCAUGCCCAAAGCAGUAAGUCCACUGGGGCAGGAAAUAAGGGUGCAUGCUGGCCAGGUUGUCUCCUGUAAAGGCCUAUAUAAAGACAUGUGAAGACUUUCCCCUCCUACCUCAUCUGUCUGUUGACCUGCUUCAUAUCGGCUGCCGAUCACGCUCGGAGAGCCCAGUCAGUUUUAAUCACACUCUGCUUGUCGAGCUUCCAGAGGCCAUUGCUGCAGCUGUGGAAAACCAGAAGAACGCGGAGGCGAGACGAAUACCAAAAUCAUGAUUACACGCACUGACAACGGAUCCUGGAUCCUGUUCAGAUGACGUUACAGAGGGAAAGAUCAAAACCAGUUGGAAGAAUACAACUUUCUUAAUCAAUCAUAACUCUUAAUGUCUGUGGUUCUUGUAUCCCUUUUCCUCCGCCAGAUGGCACUGUGCAGUGACUAGACUAAUUCACUCUCCUUAGACUCCUUGUGUUUUUGGAGGAAGAGCCAAAGUUGCCUAUUUGUACACUUUCUGCCAAAAAUAAUUGUAAGGAAAUUGGUUUCAUGUGAAAGUUCUGUUCUUUGGAUUAUUUGGAGCGAAGUAGCCUGGUGCAUUUAUUUGUGCCAAAACAUUCUGGCCCAAACAGACUACUUUUGAAACUAAACUACACAAAAUUUGCUACAUACGGAAACUGAAAUCGGGGUAAAAUUUGAAAAAUGCAGAAACAAAUAAGGAAAACAAAUGACAUAGCCCAUUAAAAUAUCCUCACUAACAUUUCUCGAAGAGGUUUUGUGCCUCAGUGGAACCACAGAAUCCAGAAGGUCUCUGUACAUUUCACCCUGACGCCCCCUCCUCCUGUGAUGCCAGGAGAAAGAGGUGGCUGUAUCACGCCUCUGGCUGUUUUACCAAGCAUCAACCAUGGUGACAACACAUACUGUAUAUCUGCUGUGUUACCACAGUAACUGCUCAAUGCUGCAUUCCAGUGUAGCAGCACUGACAUCUCUUGGCCUGAUGUAAAACUGUCACAGGACAGAAUAGGAAUCCUGUGCUUCAUCUGAUCACACCUUUUUGGGCAGUUUGGGGUACUAUGAAUUGAAUGGUUUUGUCUUUGUUUCUAGAACAAACGCAUGCUGUAACCAGAUUCAUAUUAU
Molecule: long non-coding RNA, 2793 nt
Organism: Perca flavescens (yellow perch)
Lineage: Eukaryota; Metazoa; Chordata; Actinopteri; Perciformes; Percidae
Exons: 3
Source: RefSeq, a predicted model, not a curated record